GCCUGGGUGGCUCAGUCAGUUAAGCAUCAGACUUCGACUCAGAUCAUGCUCUCCCGGUUCGUGGGUUCAAGCCUUGCCUCAGGCU
This 85-nucleotide transfer RNA is filed under the name Felis catus (domestic cat). It matches the Rfam family "tRNA". From Rfam's summary of the family: Transfer RNA (tRNA) molecules are approximately 80 nucleotides in length. Their secondary structure includes four short double-helical elements and three loops (D, anti-codon, and T loops). Further hydrogen bonds mediate the characteristic L-shaped molecular structure. tRNAs have two regions of fundamental functional importance: the anti-codon, which is responsible for specific mRNA codon recognition, and the 3' end, to which the tRNAs corresponding amino acid is attached (by aminoacyl-tRNA synthetases). tRNAs cope with the degeneracy of the genetic code in two manners: having more than one tRNA (with a specific anti-codon) for a particular amino acid; and 'wobble' base-pairing, i.e. permitting non-standard base-pairing at the 3rd anti-codon position. Lineage: Eukaryota; Metazoa; Chordata; Mammalia; Carnivora; Felidae. The record is from Rfam by way of RNAcentral.